AGGAAAGCAGGGGAUCGCAAGACCUUGCGCUUUUGGAGCGGCCGAUGUCUGAUUAGCUAGUUGGUGAGGUAAAGGCUUACCAAGGCUUCGAUCAGUAGCUGGUCUGAGAGGACGACCAGCCACACUGGGACUGAGACACGGCCCAGACUCCUACGGGAGGCAGCAGUGGGGAAUUUUGGACAAUGGGGGCAACCCUGAUCCAGCCAUGCCGCGUGAGUGAAGAAGGCCUUCGGGUUGUAAAGCUCUUUCAGCCGGAACGAAAAGGUUACGGUUAAUACCCGUGACUAAUGACGGUACCGGAAGAAGAAGCACCGGCUAACUACGUGCCAGCAGCCGCGGUAAUACGUAGGGUGCGAGCGUUAAUCGGAAUUACUGGGCGUAAAGCGUGCGCAGGCGGUUUUGUAAGUCAGAUGUGAAAUCCCCGGGCUUAACCUGGGAACUGCGUUUGAAACUACAAGGCC
RNAcentral lists this ribosomal RNA (461 nucleotides) under uncultured beta proteobacterium. Its description in RNAcentral is "bacterial SSU rRNA". It matches the Rfam family "Bacterial small subunit ribosomal RNA", at positions 200 to 642 of the family's 1533-position model. The record is from RNAcentral. Lineage: Bacteria; Pseudomonadati; Pseudomonadota; Betaproteobacteria.